AGUGGCAUGACAUUUUUUAAGUGCUGAAAGCAAAGGAAUAUUAACCCACAACUCUAUAUUCAGGAAAAUAUGCAUGACAAAUGAAGGAGAAAUAAAGAUAUUCUCAGAAGAAGGAAAACUAAGAGAAUUCUUAACCAGCAGACCUCCUUGAGAAGAACUUCUAAACAUUUCUUCUAAACAGACAGAAGAUGGCCUAUGUCUGGUUCCUUCAACAGAAGAAGGAAGAAGAGGAAUUUGGGAAAUGAGAACAAGUGCUCAGAGAUUUCCAAAAAAUUAUUCCUGGAGGCCUGAAUCAGGAUUUUUUUUUUUUUAACUCAUGCCAG
RNAcentral lists this long non-coding RNA (323 nucleotides) under Homo sapiens (human). RNAcentral describes it as "HSALNT0332840". Lineage: Eukaryota; Metazoa; Chordata; Mammalia; Primates; Hominidae. The record is from RNAcentral.